CAAGGUGCUGCAUGGUUGUCGUCAGCUCGUGCCGUGAGGUGUUGGUUAAGUCCCGCAACGAGCGCAACCCCUAUUGUUAGUUACCAGCACGUAAUGGUGGGGACUCUAACGAGACUGCCUCCGCAAGGAGCGAGGAAGGAGGGGAUGACGUCAAAUCAUCAUGGCCUUUAUGCCUAGGGCGACACACGUGCUACAAUGGCAGAUACAGAGGGUCGCGAAACCGCGAGGUGGAGCCAAUCUCAGAAAGUCUGUCUCAGUUCGGAUUGGAGUCUGCAACUCGACUCCAUGAAGUUGGAAUCGCUAGUAAUCGCGCAUCAGCCAUGGCGCGGUGAAUACGUUCCCGGACCUUGUACACACCGCCCCGUCAAACCAUGGGAGCCGGGGGGUGCCUGAAGAUGGUGACUUUACGGGGAGCUAUCUAGGGUAAGACUGGUGACUGGGGG
Molecule: ribosomal RNA, 443 nt
Filed under: uncultured bacterium
Lineage: Bacteria
Description: bacterial SSU rRNA
Rfam family: Bacterial small subunit ribosomal RNA
Source: RNAcentral